GAUGAACGCUGGCGGCGUGCCUAAUACAUGCAAGUCGAGCGAACAGACGAGGAGCUUGCUCCUCUGACGUUAGCGGCGGACGGGUGAGUAACACGUGGAUAACCUACCUAUAAGACUGGGAUAACUUCGGGAAACCGGAGCUAAUACCGGAUAAUAUAUUGAACCGCAUGGUUCAAUAGUGAAAGACGGUUUUGCUGUCACUUAUAGAUGGAUCCGCGCCGCAUUAGCUAGUUGGUAAGGUAACGGCUUACCAAGGCAACGAUGCGUAGCCGACCUGAGAGGGUGCUGGGCCAAUCGGGAAGUGAGACACGCUACAGACCCCUGCGGGGGGGAGCAAUGGGGAAUUUUCCGAUAGGGGCAAAAGCCAGAGGGAAAAACGGCGGGGGAGUGAAGAGGUUUUGGGUAGUAAAAAUCGCUUGUAUGAGGAAAACACAAAUGUGAAAGUAAAUAUCACCAUUUGAGCGGAACUAAACCGAAAAGCCCGGGCAAAUACGGU
This 496-nucleotide ribosomal RNA is filed under the name uncultured bacterium. RNAcentral's name for it is "partial 16S ribosomal RNA". It matches the Rfam family "Bacterial small subunit ribosomal RNA", at positions 28 to 506 of the family's 1533-position model. The record is from RNAcentral.